Triticum dicoccoides is the source of this 665-nucleotide long non-coding RNA. RefSeq lists it as uncharacterized. The transcript has 3 exons. Lineage: Eukaryota; Viridiplantae; Streptophyta; Magnoliopsida; Poales; Poaceae. The record is from RefSeq and is a predicted model, not a curated record.
CAGGUGAGCUGAUUUGGACCUUUUCAUCUUGGUCUGUGCAGAAUUGGAGCCUUUGAAUGAUUUGAAUGGAGCAUAUGUAUGCAUGCUACGGUUCAUCUUAGGAGAGGCACAACCUCUGGCACACCGAAGAGACAGACAUGGCUUCCAUGAAGAAUUUCGUCGAAGUGACUGCGGAUGACCCACAGGACUCCAGCAGCAACCAUAUUAUCAAAAGGUCAAGGAGCAACAAUUUGAUAUGCAUCCGUGAUAAAGAAGGUAAAACUUGAAUAUAGCCUCCUGCAACAUUAUAAGAUUACUUUGUGGUACAAAAUAUCAUGCACUGUCUUACACAUAAUUGUUGGCCAUUCUAAAAAUAUGGAUUCUACAUUGAAUUUGUCUUGGACUUCUUAAUUUAACCUCCGUGCAUGUUCUUAUGACAUUGAAUUUGAGCGAGCGAGCGAGAGGAGUACAUUACUUAUUCCACUUCUAAGCUACGCUUGUGCCCCUGUUCCUACGAAGUGUAUGGACGUGCCUAUAACUAAACAUAAAAAUAGGAUAGACACUAAAUGCUUUGAAGGAGCAGAGAUUGUAACUACACAGAAGCAUCACUAUGUAGGUAAUUGCUAUGAUAGUUAAGAUUAUUGUUGCUUGAUGCCGUGUCUAAGCUGCAGGUAUACCAUUGUUUU